UACAGAGGGUGCGAGCGUUAAUCGGAGUUACUGGGCGUAAAGGGCGCGUAGGCGGUUAAAUGAGUGUGAUGUGAAAGCCCCGGGCUUAACCUGGGAAGUGCAUCGCAAACGAUAUAACUGGAGUACAAGAGAGGGUGGCGGAAUUUCCGGUGUAGCAGUGAAAUGCGUAGAGAUGUGGAGGAACACCGAUGGCGAAGGCAGCCCCCUGGGCUAACACUGACGCUCAGGCACGAAAGCGUGGGGAGCAAACAGG
Molecule: ribosomal RNA, 253 nt
Filed under: uncultured bacterium
Lineage: Bacteria
Description: partial 16S ribosomal RNA
Rfam family: Bacterial small subunit ribosomal RNA
Source: RNAcentral